UCUUCUCCCCCUCCUCCUCUUCUUCCUUCUCUAUCUCCUCUUCUUCCUCCUCCUUCUCCUCUUCCUUUUCCAUCUCCUUUUCUUCCUCCUCCUUCUCCUCCUCUUCUUCUUCCUCUUCUUUCUCCUCCUCCAUCUAAUCUUCUCCUCCUCUUCUUCCUCCUCCCUCUUCUUCAUCCUUUUCUUCUUCCUCCUCCUCAUUUUCCUUCUCCUUUUCUUCCUCCUCCUUCUUUCUUCUCUUCUUCUUCCUCCUUCUUUUUUCUCUUCUUCUUCCACCUCCUUUUCUUCCUCCUCUUCUCCCUCCUUCUCUUCUUCCUUCUCCAUCUCCUCCUCUUCCUCCUCCUUCCUUCUCUUCUUUCUUCUCCUUCUCCUCUUCCUUUUCCUUCUGCUCCUUCUCUUCCUCCUUCUCCAUCUCCUCCUCCUCUUCUUCUUCUCCCUCCUCCUCUUCCUCCUCCUCAUCUUCCUCCUCUUCCUUCUCUUUCUAUCUCUUCCUCCUCCUUCUUCUCUUCCUCCUUCUCCAUCUAGUCUCCUCCUCCUCUUCUUCCUUCUUCUCCUCUUUUUCCUUUUCCUUCUCUUCUUCUUCUUCCUCCUUCUCCAUCUCCUCCUCCUCCUCUUCCUCCUUCUACUCUUCUUCUUCCUCCUCCUCCUCUUCCUUCUCCACCUCCUCUUCUUCCUCCUCCUUCUACUUCUUCUUCUCCUCCUUAUUUCUCCUCCUCUUCUUCUUCUUCCUCCUCCUUCUACUUCUUCUUCUUCUCCUUAUUUCUCCUCCUCUUCUUCUUCUUCUUCCUCCUCCUUCUACUUCUUCUUCUUCCUCCUCCUUCUUCUUCUUCUCAUUUCUCCUCCUCUUCUUCUUCCUCCUCCUUUUACUUCUCCUGCUUCUCUUAUUUCUCCUCUUCUUCCUCCUCCUUUUUCUCUUCCUUCUUUUCAUCCUCCUCCUCCUCCAUUCCAUCCUCAAGCCUCCCUUCCCAUGGGGCUGCAGCGCCGACCCACGGCGUCACCCCAACGCUUUGGGUAGGACAGGACCUUCCAAACCCCCCCAGUUCCCCGGAGUCUUGGGGUCCCUCCCAUGGGUAUUGGGGUCCCCCCCGGGCACUGAGACUCCCCCCAGGGGGGGCAGCCACAGCUUCUCUGGGAAACCUCCCACCACCCUCAGGGGGAUGAAUUUCUUCCCAAAAUCUCACCUCAAUCUCCCCUUUUUCACCUCAAAACUCUUCCCCCUCGUCCUAGGCCUCCCCUCCCUGCUCCAGAGUCCCUCCCCAUCUCUCCUGGAGCCCCUUGAGGGGCCGGAAGGGGCUCUGAGGCCUCCCCGGCCCCUUCUCUCCUCCAGCCUGAACUUGGGGAAGGGAUAUUUCCCGCCAUAACCCCUUUUUCCCGCCAAAAUCAGCGCCUUUUCCCGCCAAAAUCAGGGCCCUUUCCCCUCCCCUUCCGCCUUCUUCCAGGCUCGACCAGCCGAGUACCGCAUCUUCCACCCGCCCCUCCCGCUCCUGCCCAGGCNNNNNNNNNNNNNNNNNNNNNNNNNNNNNNNNNNNNNNNNNNNNNNNNNNNNNNNNNNNNN
RNAcentral lists this long non-coding RNA (1552 nucleotides) under Calidris pugnax (ruff). RNAcentral describes it as "lncRNA (ENSCPUG00000000974.1)". The record is from RNAcentral. Lineage: Eukaryota; Metazoa; Chordata; Aves; Charadriiformes; Scolopacidae.